CUAAAUGUAAAGUAACUGAUGUACUUGUGAAGACGAGACUAAAGUCCCACUAGCCACCACAGAAGUACAGUAUCAAAUUAAUUAUAAUUUUUAUUUUCUGCCGUCAAAAUCACUCUGGUUCGACGCAAUUGGAUUGCAAAGUUAUGUUAUAGUGUGUAUUCGUGGCACCCAGUGUUAAUUUAGUGAGGGAAGAAAAACGGUUUUAUUUUGUAAUAAGAAUUCUUUACAGGGCUUGGAAAUUGGGAAGAUAUACUUCGACUCAAGGACAAUGACCCAACACACCUCAAGGCUGUGUAAGGGCUAUUUGACCAAGAAGGAGAGUGAUUGAGUGCUGCAUCAGAUGACCUGGCCUACACAAUCACCCAACCUCAACCAUAUUGAGAUGGUUUGGGAUGAGUUGAACCACAGAGUGAAGGAAAAGCAGCCAACAAGUGCUCAGCAUAUGUGGUAACUCUUUCAAGACCGUUGGAAAAGCAUUACAGGAGGGGUGCAUCACUUGAGUGGGUUGAGUGACUGACGUGAUCUUCCUGUCCGGUUUGGCGCCCCCCUCGAGUUCGUGCCGUGGGGGAGAUCGGCGUGGGCUAUUCUCGGCCUUGUCUCAGGGUAGUAAGUUGGUGGUUUGAAGAUAUCUCUCUACUGGUGUGGGGGCUGUGCUUUGGCAAAGUGGGUGGGGUUAUUAUAUCCUGCCUGGUUUGCCCUGUCCGGGUAUAUUGUUGGACGGGUCCACAGUGUCUCCCGACCCCUCUUGUCUCAGCCGCCAGUAUUUCUGCUGCAAUAGUUUGUGACGGGGGGCUAGGAUCAGUCUGUUAUAUCAGGAGAACUUCUCCUGUCUUAUUCGGUGUCCUGUGUGAAUUUAAGUAUGCUCCCUCUCACUCUCUUUCUCUCUCUUUCUCUCUUUUCUCUCUUCUCUCGGAGGACCUGAGCCCUAGGACCAUGCCUCAAGACUACCUGGCCUGAUGACUCCUUGCUGUCCCCAGUCCACCUGCUGUCCCUAGUCCACCCCAGACCAUCUGCUGCUACUCCAGUUUCAACUGUUCUGCCUGCGGCUAUGAAACCCUGACCUAUUCACCGGACAUGCUAUCUUGUCCCUGACCUGCUGUUUUCAACUCUCUCUCUCUACCGCGCCUGCUGUCUCUAACUCUAAAUGAUUGCCUAUGAAAAGCCAACUGACAUUUACUCCUGAGGUGCUGACCAGUUUCACCCUCUACAACCACUGUUAUUUUUUGACACUGCUGGCCAUCUUUGAGUGUUUGAACAUCUUGGCCAUGUACUGUUAUAAUCUCCACCCGGCACAGCCAGGAGAGGACUGGCCACCCCUCAGAGCCUGGUUCCUCUCUAGGUUUCUUCCUAGGUUCCAGCCUUUCUAGGGAGUUUUUCCUAGCCACCGUGCUUCUACAUCUGCAUUGCUUGCUGUUUGGGGUUUUAGGCUGGGUUUCUGUAUAGCACUUUGUGACAUCGGCUGAUGUAAAAAGGGCUUUAUUAAUACAUUUGAUUGAUUGAUUGAUGUAGAUAUUCCAUAAAAAAUCUGCCGUUUCCAGCUACAAUGGUC
This 1549-nucleotide long non-coding RNA is filed under the name Salmo salar (Atlantic salmon). RNAcentral's name for it is "lncRNA (ENSSSAG00000085990.1)". The record is from RNAcentral. Lineage: Eukaryota; Metazoa; Chordata; Actinopteri; Salmoniformes; Salmonidae.